RNAcentral lists this ribosomal RNA (757 nucleotides) under uncultured bacterium. RNAcentral describes it as "bacterial SSU rRNA". It matches the Rfam family "Bacterial small subunit ribosomal RNA", at positions 1 to 807 of the family's 1533-position model. The record is from RNAcentral.
CCUUAGAGUUUGAUCCUGGCUCAGAACGAACGCUGGCGGCAGGCUUAACACAUGCAAGUCGAACGCCCCUUUCGGGGGGAGUGGCAGACGGGUGAGUAACACGUGGGAACGUACCUCUUUGUUCGGAAUAACUCAUGGAAACGUGAGCUAAUACCGGAUACGCCCUUUUGGGGAAAGAUUUAUCGCAGAGAGAUCGGCCCGCGUCUGAUUAGCUAGUUGGUGAGGUAAUGGCUCACCAAGGCGACGAUCAGUAGCUGUUCUGAGAGGAUGAUCAGCCACACUGGGACUGAGACACGGCCCAGACUCCUACGGGAGGCAGCAGUGGGGAAUAUUGGACAAUGGGGGCAACCCUGAUCCAGCCAUGCCGCGUGAGUGAUGAAGGCCUUAGGGUUGUAAAGCUCUUUUAUCCGGGAAGAUAAUGACUGUACCGGAAGAAUAAGCCCCGGCUAACUUCGUGCCAGCAGCCGCGGUAAUACGAAGGGGGCUAGCGUUGUUCGGAAUCACUGGGCGUAAAGGGCGCGUAGGCGGACGAUUAAGUCAGGGGUGAAAUCCCGGGGCUCAACCUCGGAAUUGCCCUUGAUACUGGUUGUCUUGAGAUUGGAAGAGGUAAGUGGAAUUGCGAGUGUAGAGGUGAAAUUCGUAGAUAUUCGCAAGAACACCGGUGGCGAAGGCGACUUACUGGUCCAUAUCUGACGCUGAGGCGCGAAAGCGUGGGGAGCAAACAGGAUUAGAUACCCUGGUAGUCCACGCCGUAAAC